GCCAGACUCCUACGGGAGGCAGCAGUGGGGAAUAUUGGGCAAUGGGGGGAACCCUGGUGCAGCGACGCCGCGUGGGUGAAGGAGCGUUUCGGCGCGUAAAGCCCUAUCGGCAGGGAAGAAGGAGGACGGUACCUGACUAAGAAGCCCCGGCUAACUACGUGCCAGCAGCCGCGGUAAUACGUAGGGGGCAAGCGUUAUCCGGAUUUACUGGGUGUAAAGGGGGCGCAGACGGCAGCGCAAGCCAGGAGUGAAAGCCCGGGGCCCAACCCCGGGACUGCUCUUGGAACUGCGCGGCUGGAGUGCAGGAGGGGCAGGCGGAAUUCCUGGUGUAGCGGUGAAAUGCGUAGAUAUCAGGAGGAACACCGGUGGCGAAGGCGGCCUGCUGGACUGCGACUGACGUUGAGGCCCGAAAGCGUGGGGAGCAAACAGGAUUAGAUACCCGUGUA
RNAcentral lists this ribosomal RNA (446 nucleotides) under uncultured bacterium. Its description in RNAcentral is "partial 16S ribosomal RNA". It matches the Rfam family "Bacterial small subunit ribosomal RNA", at positions 330 to 792 of the family's 1533-position model. The record is from RNAcentral.